Oreochromis aureus is the source of this 623-nucleotide long non-coding RNA. The record is from Ensembl. NCBI's taxonomy places the organism in Eukaryota, Metazoa, Chordata, Actinopteri, Cichliformes, Cichlidae.
CUGGGGGAGAGAUCCAUGGGAGUCACGAUGGAGGGGAAGCUUCCAGAGGCGGGCUGCUGCUCCGAAAGAGAAAGUUAAAUGACUUGCUAACACCCAUGGACAUGAAAUUUUCUGAGAGCGCUACAUGUAAGAGUACAUGUAAGUGCUGAGAGUAAAUCAGCUGGUUUACAGGAACUCGUGGUUGUUGUGUAAAUACUGUCAGUGCUGUAAAAUCAGCUGAUCAGAGGUUCAAAGUCUCCUUUCAGUUGUUCAACCUGCCAAACUACUGGAACUCACUGAAGAAAGCUGGAGGACGGAAGAUCCCAAACAUCAUUGUUAGCCCUCUGCAGGAAGAUGAAGGAGCGUGGAAAACAUUUAAGUCUCUCUCAACAAAAUAUGGUCCACCAGGACGAAACCGCAUCGUCAUCCCGUUCAGCCUCCCAGCAGAGAGUGAAAGUGUCCCGUUCUCUGUCGUCUGCUUGGCUCUGUCCCUGGUGCUCCUCUCUUCCAGGUUUAAAGCCACCGUUCACUUUAAUGCCUGUCUGAGUGAUAAGUCUACAGGACAGAAAUGUGACAGGAAGUAUCUGCAGGAGCAGCACUACUGCACUGAAGACAACACUGUGAUGACAUGUUCACCAGAUGCA